This 255-nucleotide ribosomal RNA is filed under the name uncultured bacterium. Its description in RNAcentral is "partial 16S ribosomal RNA". It matches the Rfam family "Bacterial small subunit ribosomal RNA", at positions 524 to 777 of the family's 1533-position model. The record is from RNAcentral.
GACAGAGGGGGCAAGCGUUGUUCGGAAUUACUGGGCGUAAAGGGCGCGUAGGCGGCCUGUUAAGUCGAACGUGAAAUCCCCGGGCUCAACCCGGGAACUGCGUCCGAUACUGGCAGGCUUGAAUCCGGGAGAGGGAUGCGGAAUUCCAGGUGUAGCGGUGAAAUGCGUAGAUAUCUGGAGGAACACCGGUGGCGAAGGCGGCAUCCUGGACCGGCAUUGACGCUGAGGCGCGAAAGCCAGGGGGAGCAAAACGGG